This is a long non-coding RNA of Rosa chinensis, 248 nucleotides long. RefSeq lists it as uncharacterized. NCBI's taxonomy places the organism in Eukaryota, Viridiplantae, Streptophyta, Magnoliopsida, Rosales, Rosaceae. The record is from RefSeq and is a predicted model, not a curated record. The transcript has 3 exons.
GUUUCAGCAUGUGGUGAUCUGACUUUACCACAUGAUGCAGGGCUCUGCAUUGAUAAAAUUCAUGGACCUGUAUAUCAGCACCACAGUACAUGAGGCUUCUGGAACUGGCAGCAUGAAAUUUCUCAUGGAUGGAUGUUUAAUGUUAGCUACAAAAGAUGGGUCUACAAUUGAAAUUAUUGAAGAAAUAGGGGCAGGGAAUUUGUGGAAAGCUCAUGUAGAACCAAUUUACACGUCUUCCUUUGUUCCCA